RNAcentral lists this ribosomal RNA (377 nucleotides) under uncultured bacterium. Its description in RNAcentral is "bacterial SSU rRNA". It matches the Rfam family "Bacterial small subunit ribosomal RNA", at positions 376 to 770 of the family's 1533-position model. The record is from RNAcentral.
CGAAAGCCUGACGGAGCGACACCGCGUGAAGGAUGAAGCCUUUGUUGGUGUAAACUUCUUUUUUCUGGGAAGAUAAUGACGGUACCAGAAGAAUGAGGGGCGACAAACUUCGUGCCAGCAGCCGCGGUAAUACGAAGGCCCCAAGCGUUAUCCGGAAUUACUGGGCGUAAAGCGUCUGUAGGUGGUUUCUUAAGUCUUUCCGUGAAAAUCCAGGGCUCAACCCCGGACUGCGGGAAAAACUGGGAGACUAGAGUGUGGGAGGGGCUAGCAGAACGGUAAGAGUAGGGGUGCAAUCCGUUGAUACUUACCAGAAUACCAAAAGCGAAGGCAGCUAGCUGGAACACUACUGACACUGAGAGACGAAAGCGUGGGGAGCA